RNAcentral lists this ribosomal RNA (462 nucleotides) under uncultured bacterium. RNAcentral describes it as "partial 16S ribosomal RNA". It matches the Rfam family "Bacterial small subunit ribosomal RNA", at positions 28 to 507 of the family's 1533-position model. The record is from RNAcentral.
GAUGAACGUUGACAGAAUGCUUAACACAUGCAAGUCUUUGGCGAAGCUGUGCUUGCACAGCCUAGCCAAGGCGGACGGGUGAGUAACGCGUAAGGAACUUGCCCUGCAGUCAGGGAUAACAGACGGAAACGACUGAUAAGACCUGGUAAAGUCAGGCGGACUCAUGUCCAGCCUGAUGAAAAGAGAUGCUGCAGGAGAGCCUUGCGUCCUAUUAGCUUGUUGGUGGGGUAACGGCCCACCAAGGCGAUGAUAGGUAGCCGGCCCGAGAGGGUGGACGGCCACAAGGGGACUGAGAUACGGCCCUUACUCCUACGGGAGGCAGCAGUGGGGAAUAUUGGACAAUGGGGGCAACCCUGAUCCAGCAAUUCUGUGUGCACGAUGAAGGUUUUCGGAUUGUAAAGUGCUUUCAGCAGGGAAGAAAAAAUGACGGUACCUGCAGAAGAAGCGACGGCUAAAUACGUG